This 902-nucleotide ribosomal RNA is filed under the name uncultured Acidobacteriota bacterium. Its description in RNAcentral is "bacterial SSU rRNA". It matches the Rfam family "Bacterial small subunit ribosomal RNA", at positions 8 to 888 of the family's 1533-position model. The record is from RNAcentral. Lineage: Bacteria; Pseudomonadati; Acidobacteriota.
AGAGUUUGAUCAUGGCUCAGAAUCAACGCUGGCGGCGUGCCUAACACAUGCAAGUCGAACGCGAAAGUGGAGCAAUCCAUGAGUAGAGUGGCAAACGGGUGAGUAACACGUGGGUGACCUGCCUUCGAGUGGGGGAUAACGUCCCGAAAGGGACGCUAAUACCGCAUAACAUGCUGUCUUUUAAGAGAUGGACAUCAAAGCCGGGGACCGCAAGGCCUGGCGCUUGAAGAGGGGCCCGCGCCUGAUUAGCUAGUUGGUGGGGUAAUGGCUCACCAAGGCAACGAUCAGUAUCCGGCCUGAGAGGGCGGACGGACACACUGGGACUGAGACACGGCCCAGACUCCUACGGGAGGCAGCAGUGGGGAAUUGUUCGCAAUGGGCGCAAGCCUGACGACGCAACGCCGCGUGGAGGAUGAAGACCUUCGGGUCGUAAACUCCUUUCGAUCGAGACGAACGGCCCUUGGGAUAACACCCUGAGGGAGUGACGGUACCGAGAGAAGAAGCCCCGGCUAACUCCGUGCCAGCAGCCGCGGUAAUACGGGGGGGGCAAGCGUUGUUCGGAAUUACUGGGCGUAAAGGGCUCGUAGGCGGCCAACUAAGUCAUACGUGAAAUCCCUCGGCUUAACCGGGGAACUGCGUCUGAUACUGGAUGGCUUGAGUUCGGGAGAGGGAUGCGGAAUUCCAGGUGUAGCGGUGAAAUGCGUAGAUAUCUGGAGGAACACCGGUGGCGAAGGCGGCAUCCUGGACCGAUACUGACGCUGAGGAGCGAAAGCCAGGGGAGCAAACGGGAUUAGAUACCCCGGUAGUCCUGGCCCUAAACGAUGAAUGCUUGGUGUGGCGGGUAUCGAUCCCUGCCGUGCCGAAGCUAACGCAUUAAGCAUUCCGCCUGGGGAGUACGGUCG